GUAGCUCAGUGGUAGAGCAUGUGCUUAGCAUGCGCAAGUAUCUGGGGUUCAAUCCCCAGC
This 60-nucleotide transfer RNA is filed under the name Cavia porcellus (domestic guinea pig). It matches the Rfam family "tRNA", at positions 7 to 64 of the family's 71-position model. From Rfam's summary of the family: Transfer RNA (tRNA) molecules are approximately 80 nucleotides in length. Their secondary structure includes four short double-helical elements and three loops (D, anti-codon, and T loops). Lineage: Eukaryota; Metazoa; Chordata; Mammalia; Rodentia; Caviidae. The record is from Rfam by way of RNAcentral.